This 253-nucleotide ribosomal RNA is filed under the name uncultured bacterium. Its description in RNAcentral is "partial 16S ribosomal RNA". It matches the Rfam family "Bacterial small subunit ribosomal RNA", at positions 524 to 776 of the family's 1533-position model. The record is from RNAcentral.
GACGAACUACACAAACGUUAUUCGGAAUUACUGGGCUUAAAGGGUGCGUAGGCGGCCUGACAAGUUGGGUGUGAAAUACCUCGGCUCAACCGAGGAACAGCGCUCAAAACUGUCGGGCUAGAGGGAGAUAGAGGUGAGCGGAACUUAAGGUGGAGCGGUGAAAUGCGUUGAUAUCGUAAGGAACACCCGUGGCGAAAGCGGCUCACUGGAUCUCUUCUGACGCUCAUGCACGAAAGCUAGGGGAGCGAACGGG